UACAGAAUAUGCGAAAACGGGCGGGGGGAGGGGGGGAGCUCUAAGUUGUUUUUACAGCAAUUCAUAAAAUAAAAUUAAAAUAAAAAGUCUAUGCCCAAGGUUCAUGUUUGUUUUUUCUUCCUGUGUCUUUAAUUUUUAUCUUAAAUCUAACAAAUGACUAAAUGGGCUUGUCCAGAGGCAAUGACAAGGUGGGGGGUGAGAAGGAAGUGCAGAAAAGCUGGCAAGGAAUCAGCAAAAGGGAAAGCAAAAAGGAAAGUCAUAAUAAGCAAGCUGAGCUCAACACAUUUAAAGCAACAAAGCUGCAUUUAUGUCAAUGUGUAUAUCAAGAAACAAUGAAAUCAAAGUUGCAGGCAAAGCUUGUUUGCUAAAGUAUAGAAGCUAAUCUACUGUUAGCUAAGAUGCAACGGAUCUGACAUGCUCCCUGAACUCUAGCAGAAUACUUCAUUUUAUUUUUUUUAGUUCUAGUUUGUUCUAAAAAACAUUAAUUGAACACCUGCUAUUCAGACACAGCCAGAAGCUGGAGAUCUCAUGUAAGCUGUGGAGGAACUCCAGUAUAACUGGGGAGAUGGAGAAGUAAGCAGAUAUUUUUGCUACAAUAAAGUAGGAUGCUGUAAGAUAAAAAUUAUUACAAAAAUGAUUGCUAAUAAAAAAAAAAAAAAGCUGGCCAAAAUCCACUUUAAAAGAUGUCAACGGCCAGAUGCAGAAUAAGCUAGGAUUCUAGAAGCAGCUUAACAUAGUUCUGAAUCCUAAAUCUGCUCUGCUAUGACUGAGAUAAUUGUUUUAUUUGUAAAAGACUCAUUAUUUAUAAAAUACUGGCACUAAAAAUGUACAUCAUGUAAUUCUUUUGAAGCUUAAACACUAUUAAAUACUCAUUAACAUUAGUUAAUGCACUUCCUUCUCACCCCCACCUUGUCAAUGUCUUUAAUUAGUUACUGAACUAAUACGAUAUUCCUAUGUUUAUGUAACACUGUGGCAAAUAAUUAGAUUCAAGCAGCACUUCAUAGAAUGCUGUGCUUUUAUAUGUUAUGAUCUUAUGAAAUGUGUGUUUAGUUUUUCAAAACAUCCAGAUAUUUGCCCUUCACAGGAAAAAUUAUUGCUUGUCUUUUUCUCUUUUUAUUUAGAUGCUUUGACAUCAUAUAGACUUUCAUGUCUUUGUUGUCACAAUAUGAUUAGAACUUUCUAAGUUGCUGUCUAUGGUGUUGAGUUAUUUAUGCCCACGUUGGAGGUGACAUCACACAUUUAGUAACUGCUUCAGAGUUUUUAUGAGUUUUGGGUCAUAUGAAAUUUGAUGCCAGAGCCUUUAUAGCAGAUGUGUUCAAUAAGACAAGGCUUUACGAGAAAUUCUCAACCAUAUUUUAGUCAUCUUCCAGCAAUGUGCUUCUUCCUGAUACAGUUAAUUGCUGGCUUCUCCAGCCUCUAAGGUCAGAAUACCUCUGAAAGUCAAGGUCAUCUUUCCUCUCCUCAGAACACUGCAACCUCCUGCUGAUUCCAAAAGGAAUUUGGCAUCACAGAGUUUGGUCAAGAUCUCAUGCUUGCUUGUCAUCUCCUCUCAGACUCUUUGGACUUGUCUUUGCUUCUCCUAUCUAGUAGAGUCGCCCUUGGCCCCAGCUGGCCUAGUCCUGAGGUCUUCCCCUAACACUCCCACCAUCCGCAGGCCAGCACCUUUCGGCUCACUUUCUUUUCUAACCAAGCUUUCUUCUUGCAUCCAUCUUUGUUUCCAAAAGUUUAUCAUUUAGUGUCUUUCUUGUGUUUUGUGAGAAAUAUACCCAUUUUUUUUUUUUAUACCCAUACCUCCCAAAUUUGUUAACUUGAUUCCAUUCUCCUAAACUUCUUAAAGACUCAUUUCAUUUGAGAAAAACUUUGGUAGUCAUCCUUGUACCUUUGGUAUGAUUCAUCAUUGGAAUCUCCCUGGUUUUCCUUGCUGAAGUGUGUGAGUCUAAUGUAAACCCACUAGGACUUUUCAUAGCUUCUGAAUUAUGAAACUCAUAAACUUUGAGGCUUACAAAGAUGUUGGGGCUCACUUCCUCAUUUCAAUCAUUGUGGAACUAACCCAGUAAAGAACCAAAAUUAGGGUGGCUGCCAUUAGAAUGCAUUCUAAACAAAAUUGUGAAUCAUCCUGACUUUGUCCUUGAGCUGCCUUAUUCAUCACUUUUCCCCUCGUAUUUCCCUCUCUCAGAUCAACAGGCCCUCCAAACAAGUUUCCCCAUUUUAUCCUUUUUUCCCCUCUAUCGCCCCCCCCACCCCAUUCCUCAAUAUUUCAGAUCCUCCUAACACUUUUAUUAAUCUAUAGGGCCUCUUCCUGAAGGUCUCACUAAAAUACUAAUAGUGGUUUAGUGUUUUUUUUUUUUUUCUGCCAAGCAUACUUUUAAAAAACCAAACACACACCCUUUUAAAUGGGUGAUGAAGUGAGGGACCACUGCUCUCCUUUGAAGAAUGGAGAUUUUGUGCACAUGAGCAUCUAGAUGGGGAGUGAGUGAGAGGUAAGGCUUAGUGCUUUCCUGUACUCAUUGAAUAUCCAACCCUAAUCCCUUAUAUCUUUUACUGGUUCUAUUGUCUAAAGUGCCAUAUAUUUUAUUUGUGCUUCCAAUAGCACUCUUGAUCUAGGCACUCAAGUAACCACCAUGACUAAGCAGGAGAGCCACCAUCUGUGUACAGCUCUGACUCUUCCCCUAGCACUCCCUAAUGAUCUAUUUGAGAGAGAGCUCUUGACCCUGCAUUGCCUAACUACCCAGAGGAAGAAUGUUCUCUCCCCUUCACAUGACCUUGUUCUCUUCCAGAGAAACAGCUCUGGGAAAUUAGGUACAAUCGAGAGAGUAUGACAUUACUGAGGAGACAUUAUUUAGUUGCUCCCUCAAAGCCCAAUGGGCAGUGAUCCAGAAACAUUUGGGAAUAGAGAAGUAACUCAUUAGAAGCCAGUCAAUGAGUGGCCUAAACUCUUUUACUUUGUGAUUUCAUAUGAGUGCUUAGUUCAGUUGUCUUAACAUCAGCCUUGAUGUUAACAGGAACUUUAGUAUUUUAACAAGAUUGUUUAAAGACUCAAAACUUUUCUGGAGCUUUAAUAGAUGAAUUCUGUUAUGUCAGGCAAAGUGUAAGAGCAGAGUAUCAAAGCAGAGUGCACAUACCCUGUGAUCUAUUGAGGUAUGGGGGAAAUAAUAAAAAUAAAUAAAUGUAUCUUUAAAUCUUACUAAGUUUUAUUUUUGUGAAUGCUUUAUACAGUUGUUGGCAUAGCUAUAUAAUUCAUAAAUAAAAACAGAUAUGUUGGAGUAUUUAUAACUGUUAAAGUUGUGGGAUCAGGUAAGUUUAGAUUUGGCUAUAAUACCCACCCCUUCCAAUCCAUACAUUACAAUAAAGGCAGGUUCUAUAAACCCAAACCCAGUGCCAUCGAGUUGAUUGCAAUUCACAGUAACCCUAUAGGACAGAGUAGAACUCCCCGAUAGGGUUUCCAAGGCUAUGAUCUUUACGGAAGCAGACUGCCAUAUCUUUCUUCCAUGGAGUGGCUGGUGGGUUUGAACUGCCAGCCUUUUGGUUAGCAGCCAAGUGCUUUAACCACUGCACCAAGCAUGAGAUAUUCUCUCUCACAUAAGCAGCACACCCAAGAAACUGAAGAGAAAGUCCUGUCUCACUCAAAGUCUGAUGUUUUUUCUGAAUUCCAGCCAUCUUCAUAAGUGGGAGCUGGGUGCAGCUACUCAGGGAAUAUAAUAUUGGUUUAGAUAAAAAAAAAAAAAAAAAAAUUUUUUUUUUUUUUUUUUAGAUAAAGUUGGUCGUGGCUCUAGAAGGAGUACAGAUAUUUUUUAGGCCAGGUCACUUGCCUUUUUGCAUAAUCCUUUUAAUAUUGUGACAUUCAGACAUCCUACUGGACAGAGCUACAAAUGAAUCAGAUGUAGGUGAUUAGAGGAAGCCAAAACCAAAACCAAACCCAUUGCCAUCGAGUGAAUUCCGACUCAUAGCGACCCUAUAGGACAGAACAUAACUGCCCCACAGGGUUUCUAAGGAGCUCCUGGUGGAUUUGAAUUGCUGACCUUUUGGUUAGCAGCCGUACCACUUAAUGACUACGGCACCUGGGUUUCCUAGAGGACCCCAGAUAGAUGGAAAUCAGAGUGAAGAACGUGGUUGUUCAUGAGGCUUACCUGUGGUCUGUCCUCCGUAGGACAGGAAAAUUGGACUCUGUCUUCCUUUGAAUACCCUAAGAGAGGCUCCCCUGUGAAAGAUGAGUUUUUCCCCUUGAAUUGUCACGGAAGGUGCUAUGGGCAUAUUUCCUGCCUCUCUGUUUCUUUAGAAGUUUGGAAGCCAAGGGGCUCAAGAUGGAGGGAAGGGUAGAAACAGAAGCUUUUGCCUCCUGAUGGAUCAGCUUGUAGAGAAAAGAGCACACUCCAUCGUUGAAGGCCUGCAUGUCUGUUUUAAAUCCCAGCAGGACUUUGUCAUUAUGUAACACCAAGGGUACUUUUCUGUACAGUCUUGGUGGCCCCAGCCCCUGGAGCUGUGCUCUGCAUGGCCUGCAUGGCUGAGAAUGUCUGCCUAAGUCUCAGUUUUUUUUAUUACUUGGUGUGUACUCUUGGAUGAGUUGCUUAUUCUCUCUUCUAAUAAAAGGUACUGGGUUAAUAAAAUCAUAUAAUAAUUUCUACCCCCCUCCGUCAUGUUGGGUAUAUUAUCUACCAUAUAAUUGAUAUUUAGUAGCAAUCUCUUUUUUAUUCUUUCUUCCUUACUUUUGUCAGUUUAGUCUUGUCUGCAGUGUCCCGUGGUUAUCUUCACAUUCGAAUCUUGCCCUUUUGGACAUCCCUGAUCAGGAGACUUCUCUGAAUCCACUUCCAUGUAAAUCCUACCCACUUAUAGUUCUUUUUCUUCUUCACCAGUAUUUUACUUAGAAUUGUUCCUGAAAUACUAGUUCUGCAGGAUUAAUGGCUGUACCAUGAAAUAUAAGAGGGGGACAUGGUUCUCAGGUCUUCAGUAAACAUGGAAUACGUUAGGUCUGACAAAGGUGCACAGGUUUCUAGCUCAACACACCUAUGACUCUCCAACAUGGGGGGCACUGAUAGGGAUCAUACACUGCAGGGUUUUUCAAACUGUCUAAAUUGGGACAUAAAAUCUUCUUUUUGCAGGAUAGCUGCUUACAAGCCUAUUAUUCUACACUUAUCCUUGUAGCAUUAGAAAGAGGCUUUCAUCCUCAGUUCUUCACGUCCAAACAACUGCUGUUUCCUCACAUUGGUCUAAGACUGAGUUGACUCUGUUUUCAUUUUUUGUGGAUUUUUUUACUUUUGUGUGUGGCCUUUCUAGCCACGGUCUCGUAACUCCCACCCAGGUGACUGUGUGAUAGGGUAAUUGUGGCCUUCCAAGGGGAUUGGUCAGUUUUGCUCAGCCCACGGAGUGAGAAAGGUGAGUGCCUCUGGGCAGAGACUGAGGGCCAAGGACAGGUCUAUGCCUGACCCAUGGAUUUGGGACUUCCCUGCCUCCACAACUGUGUGAGCCAUUUCCUUUAUAUGGUUCAUGAUAGGGAACCCAAAGUCAGGAAGGAGAAUAUUGAAGUGAGAGGGAGUAGUUGAUGUUAUGAUGAUGGAGUGGUAUAGCAGCUUAGAAAUGUUAGACGUUUGGGACCUCUUUAAACUCCGCUUCAUAGGAACCAGCUUUGUGCUGAUUUUUAUGAAAUAAAGUAUUCGUUUGUAUUUCAUUACUCUCAACUAACCUCUCUUUCUCUUUCUGGUUGCUUAAAUCAAAAGCCACCCACGUAAGACCAUUUCUAACAUCCCCUUCUAGAACUGGGAAAAUUUCAAAUAUUCUACCUUCUACGUGACCAGAAUAACAUAGUUCUACUUUCACUACCUUUAGGACAAAAAGAAAAUAGAGAACAAUACUCAGAGUAGUUGAGAUCAGUUUUCUUCUCUCUCUCUAUAAAUUCCAGGGUUUUGCAUAUGCAGUGUGUUAUUUUAAUUAAAUGUUUUGUAUCUUUUAUGCUUUUGAUUAUAAAAUAGCUCCUUGUUCAAACUAAACUUUUAAAGAUAUCCAAGAGCAUACAGAAGAACACAAUAUAAAAAAUAUUUGUAGUACAUAUGCCGUAGUUCUUUAGCAACAGAGAAGAAAUUAUGGCACAAUAUUUGCUGAGAACACAAAGCAAAGUGUGUUUGUGGUGUCUAAUUCUCACAUAUUUCUAUUCUAGAAAAUGAAUGCUGACGUUAAGGAAUUUAACCCUUUCUUUGUAAUGUUUGCUGAUACUUCCAUAUAAGGAAAGUCUCUUAUACAGGCAUUAAUUAACGAGCUAGUUGCCUGUUAGGACAAGCCCAGAGGUGACAUGAUUUGCAUUUGCUGAUCAAGGACUCUUUGGGGCUAUAAAGACAGAACCAAGAAGUGACUCAGAAGCCAGGAGGCCGUUCUGCUGUGGACUCGGCCAUGCACCAUAGCAGCGUUGUGACUCCACAGCCCUGCAGCUGACUUAGCUUUCGGUUUUCACUGCCUCAUUGUGUCAUGAGUGGAACUGUUGGCAAAACAGAGUUCACACCCCAACUUUUCAGCCUUUCCCCCUUUAAUUCUUGCUCUACCAGAAGCCUAGUGUAAUGAUUCAUAUGCCCUACUUCCUGGCAAAUAAUCAUUUUCCCACAGCGAGUGAUGAUUUAUGUUGGGAGAGGGGUAAAGAAUGUUAAUUUGCUUUUUUUCUAUUCAGCCUUUCUGCUGACAGAGGGUUGGGUAGAGGUACUUAGUCUCCAUUUGCAAGGCCAUCUUAAAAGUGUAUAGAAUUCUUUUUUUUUUUUAAUUUUAUUUUAACGUUCUUAAUGUGUGCCCUUGAAUUGAUUUUAGACUGCUUCUGUAAAGAUUACAGCCUUGGAAACCCUAUGGGGCAGUUCUAUUCUCUUCUAUAGAUUCUCUAGGAGUCAGAAUUGACUCAAGGGCAACAGAUUACAAUGAGCUCUAACGAUGAGAUAAUGUAUGUAAAGCUCCUGGUACAUAGUAGGCCUUUAACGAAUGGAAGCUCUAAUUAUUAUUUAAGACUAACUGCCCCUUCUUCUCUGGUAUGCCCUUUCAAAGCAACACACGUUAUACUUUGUACUAUCUUGGAGUUCUACUUUGUCAGACUCAACAUGGUUCAAGUUUUCUCAAGCCACUGCUGAUUUUUUUUUUUUUUUCCCCUUUGUGAUUUCCAUCUGACUUGUUUCAUUUCCCUAAAACUCUGUCACAAGCCAGGAGAUUGUCGCAGAACAUGAUCUGAAACCUCACUGGCAAGGGAAAGUCCCCUCCAAAAGAGGUUUUUUUUUUUUUUUUCCUCUCGAGUUUUACAGUUCUCUUUCAAAUAGGCAGGAAGCCCCUUAGCCUGGUGACUAAUUGGACAGAAGUGAAGGACUUACCCUGAAUCUCCUAUGGACAGUUUGAGGACAGUGGAGGGGUGGGGGUGGGGGGGCGUGAUGGUCUGGUUGCUUUUCCUUCUGGUGGCUCCACUGCCACAGCUUCUGCUCCUCCACGUUCUUUCAGCUGCCCUCUGAAGGACCUUUGUUGUUGCCUACCCUCCCUUUUGGUCUCUCUGCGAUGCGCCAUCUUUCCCCUCUCACUCAGGCCAACUCUCGUGAAACCACCAAUGGAAAUUUAGAGGCUUUUGUGGUUCUUGGGGGAGAAUUGGGGCUCUGCAUUUUCUGUGUCCUCACUUCCUUUACAGCUGGUGAGGGAUUUCCUAAGCAGCCUUUCCUCUGCCUGGUAGUCUCGGCUAACUCCACCUCCCCUGUGACGGAGACGUGCCACUUAGGAGCCUCUGUGUUCUUUACGUUUAAACACAGACUCAACUUAUGUUCAGUCUUGUAAUGGGGAAAAAAAAAAAAAAAAAUCGGCAAUCACUUUGGUCACAAUUUUCUAUAAUUUAAAUUCUGUGUACAUAUUACUGAUAAAAUAUAGUCCAUUUGGGCUCAUUCCUUUAACCCAAAUGUGUGUGCGUUUAUAUUCUUAUUUUUUUGUUUUUUUGAGAGUGCUACUUUGUAGAUAUUUUGCCACCAGAUAACUUUCCCUGUUGAGGAUGUGUAGCAACGCGAGUGAACUAUCUGCAGUACUUUUUUUUAAAAACACGGAUUUGUGUUAAGUGCUUUGAAAAUACUUUAAAAUAAUAGCAAACAUCAUAAAAGGAAUUUUUCAAAAAGAGAAAAUACGGCCCCAAUCCCACUCUUUUAUUGCAAUGACUAAUUUCACUUUCACAUAUUUCCUUUCAUUUUUUAUUCAUGUGGCAUUCAUGCGUUAUGUUUUCAUCACAGUAAGCUUUAUAGUUGAUGCUAUAAAAAUGAAACAAGAUGUUGCCUAAUAUUUAUUGAACUGGCCCCUCCCACUUUUCUGAUUCUGUGUGAACUGUCCUCCCUCAACUGUACUGGAAAGGUAACUUGAAGGCAGCAUCCUCUUUCCUCUGGGGUUUGGUCCCUGAUGAGGCCCCUGGAUCAAGUUUCCCUUUUGGUGGCUUCUCUUCCUUUUAAGAAAGAUAAAGAAGGGCUCCAGCAUGCCCAACUUUGUUUACUCCAUAAGCACAUAUUGACUGCCUACUAUGUAUUGACUGCUGCUCUGUUGACCGGGACCAUAGUCUGUACACUUAUUUUAACACGUUGAAGAUAGGAGGAAAAAGCACAGAGAAAACUUUUAUGGCUUUGUGAUUCUGUGACUCAGGGCCAGCCAGAAGAAGAAGUCUCUACCAUUGUGUUCCACAACAUGGAACGAGGUAAAUGUGAAGAUGAGGAAAAUGAGGGAGCAUUGUAAGCGAUAGCCUGGUUGUGGGGUUGAGUUUGGAUUUGGGAAUAGGUAAAGUAAUGAGCCCCAAGAGUGAGAGAGCUAAACUGAAUCUAUAACUGUGGGUUGGACUGUUUAGUAGCUAGGGGCAAUAAGCUAGUGGUUUUGUUUGUUUAUUUGUUUGAAGGGUUUUAAACUGAACUAGCCAGGCUGAUUUUCAUCGCAAGGAGAGAAAGACAACACUAACAGAUUUACGCAAAAACUGAAAUUUAUUGCUUUUGUAUAGCCACAGCAAUGGACUCAAAUAUAAUAACAUUCAUGAAGCUGGCACAGGAUGAGGCAAUGUUUUGUUCUUUUAUACAUUAAGAUCACCAUGAGUCAGAGCCAGCUUGAUGCCAACUAACAACAGCAAUAUCCUCUUAAAAUAAUACUUGAAUCUUUCAUGUUUUUAGCUUUCACCCCAGAACCUGUACUCAAACUAAAACUGUUUGUUGUAUUGAGAUUUAUUUUCAAUUGGGUUAUUGGAUUCACUCGUUGUAUACUUAGGGGCCCAUAUAUAAUUGCUCAAAUGAUUUUAUACUCACCAUUGGACUAUUUCAGAAUUGUCAGUGUUGCACUUCUGGGAGAAUGAUAAAAACUAUAGAUCACUUGCUAGAGAGCCAGCAAAUUGAACAGCCCAAGAAUGAGAAAGUCCUCAAUCUUGCAGCUUUUAAGUGCUGGGUCAGCAGAGGAAAGUGAUUGAAACAAUUAUCAUGGAGUCACAGGGCUUGGCAGACUUGGGAGAUUACAUGUUUAAAGAGGGCUUUUUUUCCUCUCUUUUCUGACUCAGGGACCAUGUGAAUUGAUGAAUAUGAAGACACUAAGAGAACAAAAAUAGAAGGAGUUGUUCUGCUCAGACCUCAAACUGAGAAGAAUGAAAUAAUCAACUCUACCUUUCAGCAAAUUGUCUCUUAUAGGAGGAAUAAGACAGCGCAUAAGUAACUUUUAGCAAGAAGAUGUAUGUUUAUAUUCUGUUUAGGUACUGGUGAUUUUGAACACAUGCAUAUGUGUCAAUUGCUGACAUAUGUACAUGUAUUUCUAUAAAUAGCCAUAGUUUAGAAGCAUUUUUUUCGUAUUUCUUAAAAGACUUAACACUGUCAGUAUGACAAGAUUUUAAUUUCCUUUUCCUACUAAUUUUGAUCAACCUGACUCAAACUAUUUUCUUUUUUCCUAUUCCUGCUUUUGUGAGGGCUAUUACUUUUCUCAGAGCCCCCUGGUGGCUCAGUGGUUAAGAGCUUGGCUGUUAACCAAAAGGUUGGCAGUUUGAAUCCACCAGCCGCUCCUUGGAAACUUUGUGGGGCAGUUCUACUCUGUCCUACAGGGUCACUAUAAGUCAGAAUCAACUUGAUGGUAACAGGUAUUACCUUUUUCUUUCUGUAUAUUUGUCUAUGUAUCUUUAUUAACUACUUUGUUUAGGCUCUUGGUAAAAGAGAUAUUAUGAUAUGAUAUGUAAUUUAAUUAGCCAUUCAUUCCUUCAGCAAAGAUUUCUGUUUAAGAUACAGCGCUGGACAAAGGUAAGAAGGAGUACGGAGUGGUAGUAGAGCAAGGUGACCCAUAGGAUUAAAAUACACUCCCUGUAGUAAGGUGAAUAAUGGUCCCCCAAAGAUGUCCAUGCCCUAAUCCCUGGAACCUGUGUUAUAUGUCAAAAGGGACUUUGCAGAUAUAAUUAAGGACCUGGAGAUGGGGAGAUUAUCAUGGUGGGUCUGAUUAAUGACAAGGGUCUUUAUAAGAAAUAAGCCAGAGAUCAGAAUGAACAUCAGGAGAUGUGAUGAUAGAACCAAAGGUUGGAGCGAUGCACUUUGAAGAUGGAGGAAGGGGCCACGAGCCAAGGAAUGCAGAUGGCCUUUAGAAGCUAAAAAAGGCAAGGCAAUGGAUUACCCCCUGAAGCCUCUGGAAGGAAUGCAGCACUGUUCACAUUUUGAUUUUAGAUUUCUGACCUCCAGAACUGGAAGAGAAUAAAUUUGUGUUGUUCUAAGCCACUUUGUGGUAAUUUUUUAUAGCGGCCACAGAAAACGAAUACACUCUUGUCCUCAAAGAGAGAAAAUUCCAGGAGAUCCUUUAUCCAUUAUAUUAAUGUGUUUAUUUUUCUGUCUAGGUCAUAUAAAUAUAGCCAACCCAAUUAACUAAUUUGCCAGGCCCUAGCUCCCAAUAUCAUUGUUGUUGUUGUUAGUUGCCAUCAAGUCAGUUCUGACUUAUGGUGACCCCAUAUGUGCAGAGUAAAACUGCUCCAUAGAGUUUGCAAGUCUGUGAUCUUUUGGAAUCAGAUCACCAGGCCUGUCUUCUGAGGCACCUCUGGGUAGGUCUGAACUGCCAAUCUUUCAGCUAGUAGCAAAGUUCUUAACUGUUUGCUACAAUUAGUUCUCCUAAAAAAUAAGAUUCUAAGUUUAGUAAUGAAUCGAAGGAAAAAAUGGACUUGAUGACAUGCUUAGGGAGCCAAGGGAGCUUGCUAUGGUAGGGCCUGGUGUUCUCUGUUGGUUAGAAAGGCUAUGCUAUGCUUUGAUAAGAAACAACCCUCAAACCUCAAAGCAACAGAAGUUUCUUUUUUGCUCUUGCCAAGUCUGCCACAUUACUGGGUGACUCUCCAGGGCAGCCUUCUUCCAUACAAAGGCUCCGUGUCCCACUCCCAUAUCAAUGUGUGCUUCUGUGUUAGCUAAGGUAGGGCAGGAGAAUGCUGGAGGGUCUCAAACCAGUAAUUUAAUGCCUCUGUAUGGAAGUGACACCAUAUCUCAUUGGCCAAAGGAAGUUGCAUGGCUACAUCUAAUUUCAAGGAGAUCCACCUGUUGCCAUCCAGUGGUUCCAACUUAUAGGGUGUAAUACUCCCCUGUCCCAGAGGAGGAAAGUCAGACAUGUUGGUAAGCAGUACAUAUGUCUACUCCAAGACCUCAACUUUGUAGGUUAGAAAAGUAUUUUAAAUAACUUUGGAAUUUACGUAUCCCUGAAACAUAUAGUGGUAACUCCACGUGCAAAUCCUAGGUACAUAUCUUCUUCUUUAGAAAUGUUUGAAAGCCCUGAAUUUUCUCAGUAUUGUUGUAGACCCAGAUUUCAUUUUAAUAAUCAGUGCUGAGGAAAUUAUCAUGAUUAACAUAGCAAACUGAUUUUUAAUACUGUAUUCUUUUAUUUUAAAUAGCUCUAAAAACCACUUGUUGUGCAUAGGGUCGCUAUGAGUCAGAACUGACUUGACCGCACCUAACAACAACAACAGUAAAAACCAUUUCAGGGAACUGGAGAAAAUGAAUAAGAGAAAGCUCAUAAUAAAGAAAGCGAGAACCCAAGUGCUGCUGAAUGAAGUCCUUAGCAAGGUUUGUAAAGAAAUGGAAAAUCAUAUCUAAUUAUUUCAUUGUGCUUAUCUUUCCUUAGUCAGAAAGCCUCCCGUGUGCAGUGUUUUUCUAUAGGUAGCCCAUGGUGAUUCAAUAUCAGUUAAUAUCUACUUGUAGCGAAGUAUUGACAGUAACUUUCUAAAUUCACAGGCUUGACAUUUUGCAGUGUAAUUGGGCAUAGAGAAGGAGCUUUCCAGGUUGCUACUAAAAGCAAUGCAGAAAGAUCUGAAAUGGACUUUAACCCUUUGCAAGCGAGGCCAGGAUUAAAGCUGAUCAUUGCUAUUCCAUAGCAGGUUUCGAGGUUUCGAGAAGAGAAGCCAGGGAACAGAUCAGCCCACUUCUCUGACCCACAUAAGUCUUCCAAAACUCUGAGAAGGAAUUUACUUUCAGCUUUCUACCGAUGAAGCAGGGAGCCUGAAUGUGUGUCCAGUAGGGACUCUCUCUGAAAAUUCUUCUGUUGCUGUCCAUCUUACUUCUCAGCAGGUCUCAGGAAAUUAUCAGGUCCAACGCCCCAUAGGAAGCUGGCUUUAGGAUUAAUUAGGCAGAUCUGGGGGAGCUCCUGUGACAUUGCAGUUUUUAACGACAGUGAUCACAAUUCAUUUUUUAAUACAGGUGGUCCCUGACUUAUGACGGGGUUCUGUUCCGAUGACUCUGUGGUGAGUUGUUGCUGACUUAAGUUGACCACCUCUUUUUUUUUUUUUUUUUUAAGUUUUCGUUAUUAUUACCUUUUAUCAUCAGUGUCUUUAUAAAUCUGGCAGGGUUUUGAACAGUGAACCAUAAAAUUGAACAUCUGUGAAUGAACAUCUGAUAAUGAUAACAUAAGGAAAUUACUCAUGGCAACAUACUACUAACGAUAAGAUGUCCAAAAAAAAAAAAAUGGUCUUAAGUGUGGUUUGUCGUAAAUUGAAUUCUUCGCAAGUCAGGGAAUACUUGUAUAACAAACUGGAUAUGAAUGAAUCUGGAGCUAAAAAGGAAAUUGACAAAGUACUUUGAAUUUAUUUUUAAAAUAUGAAAUUUAUGAAACAAUGUAUAUUAGUGAGAUGCUAUCAUUUCAUUUUAUAGAAUGCUUCUAUAAAAUGUGUUAGCAUCAUCUAAUGUGUUAGCAACAUCUGAAGUUCUUCCCAUAGAUUAUUUUAUUUAAACCUCACAAUAAGUUUUUGGGAUUAGUAUUGUUAUUUCCCAUUUUACAGAUGAGUAAACUGAAAUCCAGAGAAAUGGAGUGACUUAGCCAAGGGUAUACAGCUCAUCUCUCAUCCUCAUAUUUAUCGUCUACAUGGAGCCCAGUAAUAGGCUCUUUUAGAAAUGUUAUCUUGUUUAAGUUUCUAAAUAGUCUUAUGCUAUAGAUAUCACUAUGUUGUAGUGGAAGAGAGGAGUCCCUGGGUAGCUCAAACUCUUAAGCACUCAACUACUGGCUGAAAGGUUGGUGGUUGGAACCCACCAAGAAGUACCUUGGAAGACAGCCCUGGUGAUCAGCUUCCAAAAAAAUCAUAGCCUUGAAAACUCUAUGGAGCAGUUCUACUCUGCAAACAUGCGUACACCAUGAGUCAGAAUCGACUUGAUGGCACCUAACGACAACAGCAGUUGAAGAGAGGUGUCCUGGGUGGUGCAAACAGUUAACUUGCUCAGCUACUAACUGAAAGGUUAGAGGUUCAAGUCUACCCAGAGAUAUCUCAGAAGAAAGACCUAGCAAUCUGCUUCUAAAAAGUCAGCCAUUGAAAAUCCUGUGCAGCAUAGUUCUACUCUGACACACGCGGGGUCACCAUGAGUCUGAGUCAGCAACUGUUUUUUGUUUUGUUUGUAGUUGAAGAGAAAGAUGCUUAAGUUUUGAGACGUUAGGUGACAUGUCCAAGUUUACACAGCUGGUAUGUCUUAAAGCUUGGAUUUAAAUUUGAGUGCUCUGACUUGAGUCUUAUAUUUGACCACACCUCAUCUGCACCAAAUGUUGGUGGAAUCGGAACUCACAAACUCAGGUCUACAUAGGGCUCUGACCAGAGUUCAGAACCUAAUGGUUUGGAGUUAGGUUGUAAGUGCAGGGCUCAAAUGGCUGACUUUUCCUGUGUUCUUCUAGGGUCGUUUUGCUAUAAUUUAAGGCAUGUUGCUCCCAGAAAUAUACCAAAGAAUUGCUUUUGAUUGUUCAUUUCUUUUGUUUUUCCUUCUUACAAGGUAACUAGUGUCCCCAGCAAAUAGUGAGUGGUUAGGAUCCAUGUUCCUAAUAAAAGCAUUCUGUCCUUAAAGUGGCCUCUAACUGUCUUUUGGUGGAAUUACUUAUUCAUUUAGGCAGUUUAUUUUCUUAGGAAGAAGUCAACUGUUUCUACAGGAUUUGCUAGCUAGGACCUUUAAUUUUAAUCAUCUCCUUGAAAACAUUUUUCCUAAUCCACUAUGGGCAAGAUGAUGGAUUUCUUUUUACCAUUUAACUUUGAAUUGCACAGAUUUCCUGGGUUGAGAUAUUAUUUAUGGAUUAAGGAGGUUACUAAUCACUGAAUCAAUACAUAUACUACUCCUUUUUAUUAUCUUGUUCAAAAUCCACUUGGAGAGGAGUCAAGCCUAGAGACCCUUUGAAUUUAAUGGAAGCUACAUGUGGUCUGAGGAGUCAAAUAAGAAACAGGCCACCUCUAACAUGAAACCUGCCAAGUAUUAAGUCUGAAUAGCCAUCAUUAUUAUGCAUUUAAUGUGCAUAGAAAACCUGAUCUGCAACCUUCCAGAGUGGGCCAGAAAUUUGGAAUGUACACAAUUGUUGGCUCCAUCUCAGACCACUCAAUAAGGCAAAGAAAAUAGCAGCCACCGGAGAAUUCAUUUAGAGUUUUCUAGACCCUCAUGCUGUGCAGACCCUGUGAUAAAGGAAAGUCUGCUCUCACUGGACACUGGGACCAUUCAACUCAAACCCUUCUGUACCGUUCCUGCCACUACCUCAUUUGUUGAGGAAGUUGCCUUCUCUUCAUAAUUAAAACAACCAACAGUGUUUGAAAAUGGGAACACCCACUUCUGGCUUGAAAUACAUGGUAAAAAAUACUUUUUUCUCUUCAAUGUAUCUCAUUCACUUUGGAAAAGUGACUUAAUAUGAUUUAUUCUUCGAAGCACUCAUCAACAAAUAUUUUUGGAGUCUUUACUAUGCGCUAGGGUUUGGGCCAGGUGCUGGAGAUUAAGCUGUGAACAAGUAGACUCUCUGUCCUUGUGGGGGUGUCUGGUGGGAGAUUCAGAACAAAAAAUAGCCAAGGAUAACACAGCAUGAUAAAUGUUAUCAAACGGAAAGUACAUGAUGCUCUAGAAAUACCCAGGAGGGGAAUUCAACCAUUAUUUGGGGGCUGGGAAAGGCUUCUUGGAAAAGGCAGAACCUAAAAUGAAAGAAAGUCAGGAGUAAGGGCAAAGCUGAAAGUGGGUCCAGGAGGACAGUGUGAUACGCUGAGGAAACAGCAUGAGCCGAGACUCAAAAAUUAAAGAAAAUAUGGCAUAUUUGGGGUAUUAAAGGUGCUUGGAACCCUGAUGAUGCAGUGGUUAAGAGCUCAGCUGUUAACCAAAAGGUCAGCAGUUCGAAUCCACCAGCCAUUCCUUGGAAAUUCUAUAGGGUAGUUCUACUUGGUCCUAUAGGGUCACUAUGAGUUGGAAUUGACUCGAUGGCAAUGGACUAAAGAUGCUUAGAUGUGCUGGAAAGAAAGUUAGUGUUGUGUAGCAGGAAUGAGGUUGUGCAGGGACUUGUCAGCCAAGUAAAGAAACUUAGCUCGAUAUCUAAGAACAGCUGGGUUUAUUGAAAGAUUUUUAUAUUUUAGAAAGAUCACUGUAAAAGGGUGGUGGUGAUAUGGUCAUUGUUAGAACCUGUCUAACUUCAGGGGGGAUAAUGACCAGGAUUAGCCCCGAGCUGAUUCCUGUGAUGUGGAGGUCAGUCAUACCUGUAGUUUCCAACAUUUUACCAAUUCUGACACCAGCUGUCCAUCCCAUGGCACUCUCUACUUCUCUUCUGGGUUCUAUAAUCCGUUGCAGUGGCCACACAGAACUCACAGACCAUACUUACAGUUAAGUGGUUUAAUUGUAAAGUUAAGGAAGUAACAGGGUACAAAUUCAGACCGGAAUCAAUAGACUACCAGUCAGGAUCAGGAACAGGAAGCAAGCAGGCAAAGUCUCCCUUCUUCAGUACAGGACAGCUCUCUCAGCUGUGCACGUGUCUCUUUCUCUCUGAACAGGUCUCCUCCCUGCUUCCUGAAGACAGGCCUCCUCUCGGCCCCCUCAGUACAGGCUCCUUUUGGCCCUGCCAUCUGUCACACCAACUCUGCCACUGGGCCCCUUCUGGGCCCCUUGCUGUCUUCAGUGUCACAGCCUUUGACCCAUGUUAUAGCUCUUUUAGAAUGUCCCUUGCCUUCUCACUCUAUUUUUUCUCUCUUCUCUCUUCCUGCUGCUUCUUCCUGCUGUUUCUCUUCCUGCUUCUUUCUGUCUGAAAAACCUCUAUGGGGUCAUCUGCAUAUAUACAUAACUCUGUCAAUUUCAAGUCAUGUUCCCUCCCGGCAGUGGCCAGAAACUGACCAAUUUCCUCUUGGUAGUCCACAGACACUUCAUUUUCAUAGUGGGCUACAGACACUUCAUUUGAAUAGUAUAUUGACCAAUCCCUGCAAUAUGCAUACCAAUCACAGGGCAGGCUACAGACCAGGACCGGACUAAAAGUAUCAAACCAAGUCGUGUACAGAUUACCCAGGAGAGGUAACAGAUCCUCUGGGGUAGAACACUAAGGCAAAGGUGACUUCUCAGAGUUUAGGGGGAACAUCUCUCAAGCUGUUUUUUCAAAGAACCAAGGCAAAAGGCUGCAUAAAGGAACUCAUUUCACCACAAUCACUAUGGCUUCAGUGUUGAUAAUGGCCGGGGGGAUUAAAAGCAAAUAUAGGUAGAGAGACUAAUUAGAACAGGACCUCAGGAAUACAGUGAGAGAUCUGGUGGCCUGAAGUACUCUAGAGGUCAUGGAGAUCAAGAGGCAUAGAUUCAGAUACAUGCAAGAGACAGAGUUGACAGCCAUUGGUAAUCGAUUGUUGACCAGGUCAAGAAGAAAGUUUCUGGUUUAGGUAAUUGGGCUGAUGGUGGUGCCAUUUUCAGAAAUCAGGAGCAUAGAAGUAAAAACAAGUUUGAAGCGGGAAGAUGACAAUUCUUGUUUGGGUUAUGCAGGGUUUGAGGUGCUUGUAGGAGAUCAUGAAUAUGCCCAGUAGGCAUUUGGCUAUAUGAGUCUAAUACUCAGAAGAAAGAGCUUGUCUGAAGAUAGAAAGUUGGCAGUCACCAGCAUGUAGACAGUAAUGAAUGAUAUUACCUAGGAUGAUUACUAAGAGAGGAGGACUGGGGCACAAUGUCAACAUGUUCUCCGACAUGCCCCUUCCUGAAUGCACCCGGGUAAUGUACAUCUUUUCAGAAGUGCCUCUGGCUUCUCAAAGCAACAUUCAUCACCAAGAGGAACAAUUAGGCUUUGUCUUUCAUUAGUAACAGAAUUCACAGCUCAGAAAGAAAAAGCCAGAAGUGACUUUUCAACCACCCCUCCAACUCCCCAGGUUGUUCUGAGGAAUCCCUGAACAACAGUAACUGUGGAAUGGCUAAGGGCAGAAACCCACAAAGGAGACUGAGAAGGAAAAGCAGAGGUAGGAAGACAAGCAGAUAGUGCUGAUUCUACAGAAUCUAAGAAAAUCAAAAGGAAACUAAGGCCAGGCCCAUUUAUUAGUGUGUGUAGUAACCACUACUACUACUAUUACUAUAAGGAAUCAGAGUAGGCCAAGGGAAGAUAGGAAUUGGGGUUAAUGGAAAUGAAAAAUAGGCAUUCCGUUUAGUACCUAUUGUGAUGUGUGUGGUUGUUUGGGAUUUAAGGAAGGAAACAGGGAACUUAGGGAAUAUUGUCAAGAGAUAUUGCUUAUGUUCCCUUAGCCAGGCACACAUGGAAUGUUUAGUCACUUGACACAUAUUUAUUUAGAACUUACGUGUCAAGCAUUUUUCUUAGGGCAGUGGAGGAUUAGAACUCAUGUGUCAAGCAUUUUUCUUAGGGCAGUGAAGGAUAUACAAGUGGAAAAAGCCAUCCCUGGCCCCUGAAAGCAUGUAAUCUAGUUGGAGAUAUAACAAAUGUACAUGUAACAGUUCUCAUCAAUAGUAGCAAUAGCAUGUGAUGAGUGCUAAGAGCAUAUAUUGAAUAUUAAGUCUACAGGAGUUGAGGAGGGGAGAUAUUAGUUUUCACCAAGAGUGCAAAACAGACAUAGGGCAUAGGGAAGGAAGGGCUGGGCAUCUAGUUCUGUGAACUGGCUAGAAUAUUGCAGGCUUAGAAGUGUUAAGAGGACUACCUGAAAGGAAGAUAGAAUCUUGGUCUUGUUCUCUGACAUUCCGUUUUCUGAACACACCCGGGUAAUGUGCAUCUUUUCAGAAGUGCCUCUGGCUUCUCAAAGCAACAUUCAUCACCAGGAGGAACAAUUAGCCUUUGUCUUUCAUUAGUAACAGAAUGCACAGCUCAGAAAGGAAAAGCCAGAAGUGACUUUUCAACCACCCCUCUAACCCCCCCAAGAUUGUUCUGAGAAAUCCCCGAAUUUCUUGUAGGAAGAACAUGCAAUAUAUUUAGCAACAAGUUCCUCCUUGCCCUAAAGUAUGUCCGUGACGUAAGCUUUGAAAGCUCAUGGAAAAUACAGGGGGCUUGUGGGUUUUGUUACUUGGCAACUGAGAUCUAAGCUGUUAAAAUAAGAAAUUUGCAUAAUUUUAUAAUUCUGAAAACACACAAGUAAAAUUUUACUGAAGAUCAUUCAAAAGUGGUUGCAGCAGUACAUAGAGAACUGCCAGAAAUUCAAACUGGAUUCAGAAGAGGAUAUGGAACCAGGGAUAUCAUUGCUCAUGUCAGAUGGAUCUUGGCUGAAAGCACAGAAUACCGGAAAGAUGUUUACCUGUGUUUUAUCGACUAUGCAAAGGCAUUCGACUGUGUAGAUCAUAACAGAUUAUGGAAAACAUUGUGAAGAAUGAGAAUUCCAGAACAGUUUAUGCUCAUGAGGAACCUAUACAUAGACCAAGAAGCAGUCAUUCAAAAGGAACAAGGAGAUAGUACAUGGUUUAAAAUCAGGAAAGGUGAGCAUCAGGGUUGUAUCCUUUUACCAUACCUAUUAAAUCUCUAUGCUGAGCAAAUAAUCUGAGAAGAUGGACUAUAUGAAGAAGAAUGGGGCAUCAGGAUUGGAGGAAGACUCACUAACAACCUGCAAUAUGCAGAUGACACAACCUUGCUUGCUGAAAGUGAAGAGGACUUGAAGCAUUUACUUGAUGAAGAUCAAAGAUCACAGCCUUCAGUGUGGAUUACACCUCAGCAUAAAGAAAACAAAAACUCUCACAACUGAACUAAUAAGCAACAUCAUGAUAAACAGAGAAAGAAUUGCAGUUGUCAAGGGUUUCAUUUUGCUUGGAUCCACAAUCAACACCCAUGGAAGCAGCAGUCAAGAAAUCAAAUCUGCUGCAAAAGACCUCUUUAAAGUGUUAAAAAGCAAAGAUGUCACCUUGAGGACUACGGUGCACUUGACCAAGCCAUUGUGUUUUCGAUUGCCUUAUAUGCAUGUGAAAAGUGGACAAUGAAUAAGGAAGACCUAAGAAGAAUCAAUGCCUUUGAAUUAUGGUGUCUGUGAAGAAUACUGAAUAUACCAUGGACUGCCAGAAGAAUGAACAAAUCCAUCUCGGAAGAAGUAGGGCCAGAAUGCUCAUUAGAAGCAAGGAUGGAAAUAUUUCGUCUCACUUACUUUGGACAUGUUAUCAGGAGAGACCAGUCCCUGGAGAAAGACAUCAUGCUUGGUAAAGUAAAGGGUCAGCAAAAAAGAGGAAGGUCCUCAGUGAGAUGGGUUGACACAGUAGCUGCAACAAUGGGUUCACACAUACCAACCACUGUGAGGGUGGUGCAGGACUGGGCGGUGUUUCGUUCUGUUGUAUGUAGGGUUGCUAUGAGUUGGAACAAAACUGCAAUGGAUGAUUUUCUUUUUUCUUUUUCUUUUCUCAUGGGGGUAAGGUAGGGGAAUAAAAGUAUGGUAGUUACAGUAUCCCAUUGUUUGAAAAGUUCAUACUUGUUAGGUUAACCUUACAGCUGUUAUAUCUUUGUCAUUCAAAAUGGACAUAUCAUAGGUUACCGGUGGUAGCAAGUCUAGCCAGAGUUUCCAGGAAUGCCGCAGACAAGCCAGAUACAUAUUCAGAGAAUUAGAAGAAUUUUAUCAGGGAACUAGAAAGCUUGCUUGCAUAUGGCGUUAGUAAAAGAGAACAUCGGAGAGAAAGUGAAAUUGCCCUGAGAUCACAGGAGAGACUGUGGAGACUGCUCCACACAAGAGACAUUCCUUCUCUCUUGCUGCCCAGCCCCAUCUCCCUUGCUGCUUCUCCCUACACCUCUGAGGUACCCCUGAAUCCAUUCCCUAUGCGGGGGAAAAUAUCAACAUGGCGUCCAUAUUUCCUGAAUCAUAUCUUGGGACUAAUUCCUUGCUAAAAGCAAGUGAAUUAUGAGGAAAAUGAACAGAAUAUUUAACAUCUUGGAAAAAGUGGGGUGGAGGAUGUGUCUCUGUAUGAAUCAGACUUGGUUGAAGGACUGUCUUCAAGUGAUCUGAAACCCAAAAGUGUAUAAGGUACUUUGGACACUUAUGGCUUUAAUAGUGUGUCUUUCUCCAUCUCGGUGCCCAUCCCAGUGUUGUUAUAAAAAGCUUGGAAUUAUUUAAUAAGAGAUCCUUUAGUCACAUUUCACGUGGAUGAAUCAACACAAAGGGGGGCUUCUGGAGUAAAAUGUUCUCUUCAAUCCCAGGUACCAGUUAAUGAAAACCUGGUGCUCUGGGAGGAGCUAAUUCUUCAGAGUUUAGAAAAUGGAGGCUCUAAAUAAUGACAUUGGGAUUUUGGUAUUAUCUACUUUACAAGAAAAUGUUGCAUAGGCAGUCCCCAGGUUAUGAACUUCCAACUUGUGGACAACUCUUACUUGCCCUUUAACGUUAUGUAAAUUUGCCUUCACUUUGAAACGAUUGAACCAACCCCUACGCACAACAAACUCUUCAUCACAAUCACCUUCACUUGCUGUAUGUGCAGCUUUUAAAUCACUGAAAAGGCUUCCAGCCUUUUCUUGCACUAAAAUAAGGCUAAAUAAGAACCGCAUGCACCUGUUUUGACUUACCUACAAAUCUGACUUAAAAACUUAAAGACCCAGUUAGGAACCAAUUUCUUUUGUAAUCCGCAGACUGCUUGUAUUCUACUGUUAAACUACCAGUUGCUAUUGAGUUCAUUCCGACUCAUGGUGAUCCCAUGUGUGUCAGAGUAAAACUGCUCCACAGGAUUUUAAAUGGCUGAUUUUUUUGGAAGUAGAUUUUUAGGCCUUUCUUCCAUGGUGUCUCUGAGUGAACCGGAACACCCAACCUUUUGGUUAGUAGCUGAGAGUGUUAGCCUUUUGCACCACCCAGGGACUCCUAUUUUGCCCUUAGUGAGAACAUAAUUGUUGAAGGACAGCCCGAGCAAGGAAAGACCCUCACUGUGUGUCCUGGCAGAUAAUCUGAAGAACUGACACAUAGCCCUUUCCAGAUUCAUGCGUUCAGGGAAACUUACUGAGACAGGCAAGCAGCUGCUCUCCAGUGGCAGCCAGCUGGAGUAUUUUCCGCAACCACCUCAUAAGGGACCCAAGCUUAUAUACCAUUCUAGUUGGGACCAAGGCUCAUUGUUUUUCUCCCACGUCCUUCGGUAGUCAGUGUUCCCAGCGACUGCACAUCCAGGCCCAGAUAUUUUCCUUCUUGUUGCUAAGGCAUUCCUCGGCCUUGGCCACUGGCCCAGGCAUGCCACUCCCGGCCUUGUACCUUAGCCCGAGUCCAUCCCGAAUUCAUCCCCAGCAUGCUUCAGGGAAGAGCAAAGCUGUUUCCAUCAGGGAGGGGAUGCAUAUAGCUGAAUAGCAUUACCCUACAAUAGUAUAAUAGCUAGAAAAGCAUUUCUUUCUACAUUACUUUAUGAUGACCCUAUAGUAAACUUAGGAGGAUGUACUAUUACGAUAAUAAUACAUGGGCUAGAAUAUAAGGUUUAUUGUUUGUUAUUUUCACUGAUAUAUCCCCAACUAUCUAGAUGGGUUUCUGGCAGAUCAGGGACAUUUAACAUAAGGUAUUAAAUAAAUAUUUGUUGAAUAGGUGGCUUAACUGAGUAUACUACGUAUAAACCCCAUUUCUGUCAAGUCGAAUCUGGCUCAUAGUGAGCCUAUAGGACAGAGUAGAACUACCCCAUAGAGUUUCAAUGACUGUAAAUCUUACAGAAGCAGAUAGACAUAUCUUUCUCCAUGGAGCAACUGGUGGGUUCAAACUGCCAACCUUUUGGUUAGCAGCUAAGUGCUUAACUGCUGUACUACCAGGGUUCCUAAUACUGCCCUACGUAUUAAAAAAAAAAAAAAAACAAAAACCCAUUGCCAUCAAGUCAAUUCUGACUCAUAGUGACCCUAUAGGACAGAGUAGAACUGCUCCAUAGGGUUUCCAAGGAGCACCUGGUGGAUUUGAACUGCUGACCUUUUGGUUAACAGCUGUAACUCUUAUGCCACCAGGGUUUACAUACUAUGUAUAGAUAUACUACGUAUAGAUAUGUAUAUACUAUGUACAGAUAGUAUAAAAUUGAGUUAUUUUUCCAAUACUUAUAAGAUUAAAUUCUCACUUAAAAAUAAUCUCACUGGAUUACUUUUCUAGACAAAGGUCUCAAAUUUUGAUGAAAUGUAAAUGAUAAAAUUCUAAAAACCAACACAUCUAUGAAUGUAGGUUAUUUCUCAAGCAUGUUUCACUUUUAAUGUUCCAUGGUUCUUAUAAAGACAUGCAAAAGAAGAAAUAAACUCACUGACCCUACUUGAUUCCUACUUGAUAUUUUAAGAGAAGACUUUGAAAAAUUAUGUAAAAGCAGUAUUAAUUUACCUUUAGUGGUUGUCUAAUGUAUCACCAUAUGUAGGAGAAAUGUUAAUUGUUGACCUCUGAAAAGUUGUAGCUGGUUAUCUGUUGAAACAAUUCAUUAAUAAAGAGAACCUACCAUUUAUUGAACACCUUCUAGGCAUUAUGCUAAUGUUGUCCCAGUGACAUAGAGUUGAGAAGACAAACAAAAAAAUAGCAACUAAUAAUUACAAAUUGUGAAAAAUGACAUGAAAGAGCAGAGUCCAGGGUAAUAGGAAAAAAAAUAGCAGGAUGGAGAUAGAAGGUGAGUUAUUUUAGACAGAGAGGUCAGGGAAGUUCUCAUCUGAAAGAUGAGAAGGAGUCAGAGGGUAAAGAGCAGGGAGUUAGGCAUUUUAGGAGAGGAUACAGCAUGAGCAACUGAAUCACAACUUUAGUGCUUCUUGUAUUUAUGGAUUCAAUGUUAUGACACCUGGGAUUUGCUUUAAAAAUAUUUCAGUGGGAGGGUGGGAAAGGGGAUAUAGAUAAAACAAUAUUGGCCAUAAGAUGAUGGCUGUUGAAGCUAAGUGAUAAGUAUGUAAAGAUUCAUUAUGCUGUACUCUCUUUUUUUGUAUGUUUGUAAUUUUCCAUAAUAACAUGUUUUAAAAAAAACAAGGUAACAACUCUCGGAAGUUCCUGUGUUUGUAGGUGUAGUCAUAGUCUUAUUUAGUAAAUAGUUUUAGAAAGAUCAUCCUGUUUCACUAUUCACCCUCUUAAAAUAUUGGAACUGUUGGUCUAAGGAGUGUAGUGUUUAGAAUAUCUAAGAUGGGAGCUCAGCAAAGUCUACAGUUUUCAGGGUAGAGUAAUCGCUGUUCUAGAAAAGGAGGAUUUUCAUACGAUUGUAUGAAUGAGAGAAAAAAGAAUAUUCAACAAAGUUUGACUGAGUUCAGUUUUUUAAAAAUCAACUUUAUUGAAGUAUAAUUUACAUGCAAUAAAAUUCACAGGUUGAUGACAAUGUGAAACUACACCCUGAUCAAGAUAUAGAAUAUUUUCCCUCCUCUAGAAAGUUUUCUUGUGCCACUUCAUGGUCAGUCCUCUUAACCCAUUCCCCACUCCUAAAUAACCAAUGAUAUGAUUUCCAUUGUUAUAGAUUAAGUUUUGACUGUUCUGGAAUUUCAUAUGAUGUAAUUCUUUGUGUAUUCUUUAUGUAUUCUUUGUGUAAAGUCUUUCCCCUCAGUAUGUCUGUACGAUUCAUUCAGGUAGUAGCAUGUAUCAAUAAUUCACUCCUUUUUUACCACUGAGUAGAUUAUGCCAUUGUAUGAAUAUUCCACAAUUUGCUUAUCCAUUCACCCGUUGAUGGACAUUGACUUGUUUCCUGGUUUAGGCUAUUAUACUAAAGCUAUUAUGAACACUCAUGUACAAGUCUUUUGUGUGCAUACAGGCUUUCAUUUCUCUUGGGUAACAGCAUACCUAGGAAUGGAAUUGCUGAGUCACGUGGUUCCAGAGGUGUGAGUGGGCUGUGUGGCUGGCUGCUUCUCCCUGCGGAAACUGCCUCCGAACGCUAGUACCAGCCCACCACCUCUGCCGCCACCGCCGCCGCUGUCGGAAUGGUGCCUGAGGGCUCCCCACGAUUCAGGCGUUCUACCAGUGUCUGUCAGUUUUUCGUACGGUGGUGGCUUGCACGUUGCUGUGAUACCGGAAGCUAUGCCACUGGUUUUUCAAAUACCAGCAGGGAAUCCCGUGGUGGACAAGAUAGAGCAGAGCUUCCAGAAUAAGACAGACUAGGAAGAAGAACCUGACUGUCUACUUCUGAAAAAACUGGCCAGUGAAAACCUUAUGAAUAGCAGCUGAACAUUGUCUGAUACAGUGCCAGAAGAUGAGCCUCUCAGGUUGGAAGGCACUUAAAACAUGACUGAGGAAGAGCUACCUCCUCAAAGUAGAGUUGACCUUAAUGACGUGGAUGGAGUCCAGCUUUCGGGACCUUCAUUUGCUGAUGCGGCACAACUCAAAAUGAGAAGAAACAGCUGCAAACAUCUGUUAAUAAUUGGAAUGUGGAAAGUAUGAAGUAUGAAUCUAGGAAAAUUGGAAGUCUACAAAAAAGAAAUGGAAUGCAUAAAGAUAGGCAUUAGUGAGCUGAAACGGACUGGUAUUGGCCAUUUUGAAUCAAACAAUCAUAUUGUUUACUAUGCCAGGAAUGACAAAUUGAAGAGGAAUGACAACUUAUCCAUAAUCAAAAAGAACAUUUCAAGAUAUAUCUUGAAGUACAAUGCUGUCAGUGAUAGGAUAAUAUCCAUAUGCCUAUAAGGAAGACCAGUUAAUAUGAAUAUUAUUCAAAUUUACACACCAACCACUAAUGACAAAGAUGAGUAAACUGAAGAUUUUUAACAACUUCUAUAAUCUGAAAUUGAUUGAAUGUACAAUCAAGGUGCAUUGAUAAUUGCUGGUGAUUGGAAUACAAAAGUUGGAAACAAAGGAGGAUCUGUAAUUAGAAAACAUGGCUUUAGUGAUAGAAAUGACACGAGAGAUAGCAUGAUAGAAUUUUGCAAGACCAAUGACUUCUUCAUUGCAGAACCUUAUAUCAACAAUAUAAAUGGAGACUAUACAUGUGGACUUCACCUGAUGGAAAAUGCAGGAAUCAAAUUGACUACAUCUGUGGACAGAGACCAUGGGAAAGCUCAAUAUCAUUAGUCAGAACAAGGCCAGCCCCAGCCUACAUCUUAUUGCAACCUCAUGAGACGUCCCAAGCAAAAACUGCCCAGCCAAGUCCUUCCUACAUUCAUAAUCUUCAAAAUACUGCACAUAAUAAAGUGGUUUUAAGGCAUCCAGUUUUGUGGUAAUUUAUUAUGCAAGAAAUCAGGAAAUUUGUAUGAAAUCCAUCUUGUCCGUCUAUCCGUCCGUCCGUCCAUCCAUCUAUUUCUGGUAUAAUUUGUAGGUUCUAAGGUCUAUACCAUUUAGGAUCACAUACAGUCUUCAAAACCAUUUAGUACACCAAUUUUUGCCUAAUUUUAUUUUGUCUUCUAGGUCUUACAUACGUUUAAUCUAAAAACAACCACUCUGAUUUAAUUGUUUUGUUAAACUGAGUAUUCACAGUUUAAGUACACUAAGAAGGACAGCUGCUGCCAGGAAGGAAGGAAAAAUGUUUAAAUGGGCCUGAGACUUAGGACCAGGUCUUCUGGCUCCAGCCACCUGUUUCAACUGAGCUAAAAUAGCCUGUGUGCAGAGAUUUUUGGAAGCCGUCAUUAGGAAAGAAAAUAAACUAUACUCAUUUUGAAAACUUGAUUUUAUGGAGAGAGAAAAAAUCCUAAGGUCCAAUUUAGAGCAUAGUUAAGAAAGCAAUUUGCAAGUGAUUUAGGAUUUCUUAGUGGAGAAUUUUAUAUCCAAACAUUUGGCAUUGGCUAUUGGAAGAAUAAGGAGCCCUGGUAGUGCAGUGGUUAAAGUGCUCAGCUGGCAACCAAAAGGUUGGUGUUUCAAACCCACCAGCCACUCUGUGGGAGAAAGAUGUGGCAGUCUGCUUCCAUAAAGAUUUAUAACCUUGGAAACUUUAUGGGGCAGUUCUACUCUGUCCUAUAGGGUCACCCAGAGUCAGAAUCAACUCGACAGCAGUGGGUUUCAUUUGAUUUAUUGCAAGAAUAUGAAACUGUAUUGAGGAAGAAGCUUGGUGAGGGUUGAUUUCAUGAAGCUGUGUUGUUGAAAGAAUGUAGUCUGUGUAAGUCAAUAAGCAUAGGGAUGGCAUAUUAAUCUGCUUUUCGGGGGUGUGUCCUCUUCCAAGCAAGGCAUGGGAUAUAGGGCUGCAUAUAAAACUGGAUAAAUUUGUAUGAAAAUGUUGCUAUAACCAACUUAUUGUUACUACAGUACACUAUGAAUUUAGACAUUAUUUGUCCCUUUUUUCUUUUAUUAUAAUUAAACUGAAUUAAAAAUGGAGAAGUCUGGGAAAGGAGGAUGAGUGUCUGUAUUAAUAAGAGAGAUACUUUCUCAUUUAUCUGAGAAAGGGAAGGAAAUCAAGUAUGAGAUGGCAUUGCCAAUUUAAUUUUUCAUUAAAACACCUUGUAAGUGCUUUAAGGACAAGGCAGGCACUUUCUGUUACUAGGUGGUGUUGCUUCAAUUGCUUUGCCUUCCAUUUUGAAUUUGAAUUCUUUAAGUUAUAUAACUGGUUUAUUGAAUGGGCUAGACCUGAUAGUGUACAAAUUUGGAAAAACUAUUUUCCCCCUUAAUUUUCCUUCCCAGGACCCAGAGAUUCCACUGCUUUUGUGGUUACUUUUAGGUAUUAGAAAAGUUUUUUGUUUUUUUUUUGUUCUAAACUAUGAAAAAGCUUAAUGGCAAAAAAGAAUUUAAGUUACCAUUCAAUUCAAAGACAUACACAUUCUCCCUAGCUAAGGCCUGAUUCAGGCAUUGGCUCUGCUCUUCCAGGCAUGAGAGGGAAAAGAGGGAAGACCUGUCUACCUGGCCCUUGUGCUCUACUCCAGCUGUCACGACCCUCUUUAGAGCAGAUGACCAAUGCUUGCUCUUUUGUCAGGUGUGUUGGUAGGUUUUUGGAGAGACCCCUCUGUAAUGUCCACACUGUAAUUCUCUUAUACAUGUGAGACUUUCCCCUGUUCACUUCUUCUAAACCUUCCUCCUCUUCUGCCACCCAGUGGGCAACUCUCUUGAUUGGGAUCCUUUCAAGAUGGCCAGAACCUGUCAACCUUCUGUAGCUUCCAGUUAGUGUAAAGGAAAACUCUAGAAGUCAAAGUUACCCCACCACUGCUGUCUAUCCUCAUCCUCUGUUAUAAUUUCCUCCCGCCAGCCUCCCAUCUUCAGACUAUCCUAAAGAGAGGCAGCCAUCAAUCUUUAUCUUCCAUGUAUAGCACCCAGAUCUCAGAGACACAUGGUAACAUGGUUCUCCCAAGAACUUUCCCAAGGGACAGGCACCUGAGAUUCUGUAGCUCAGCAAAUGUCUAGCUGGAGGCUGGGAUGCCAGUUUCCUCUUCUGGAAUAUCACUCCAAUCUGUAUGAGAGCUUCCUUCAGGGCCCUAGUCUCUUGGCUUAAGGUAUGUAUGGGUGUAAGAGAGGAAGUGUCCCAUAAGAAGAAGAGAGAAAGCAUCAAGGCGCUCUCCAUUUCUACUAACUUCAAGAAAAAUCUCUACUGCAUCUUCAGCUCCUGAGUGAUGGACCCAGUAGUUGGAGAACCAGUCUGGGCACCUCUUAGUAAGUCCUGUGGGUAUGUGUCCAGCAUAUCUUUUUAGAAUGGAGAGGAGGGUAAUAGUAAACCUUUGCCUUUAGAUUUGAGGUUUUAGUCAAACUUCUGAGAUGAUAGGAAAAUCUUCACUCCAUAUCUUGGUCCAUUUAGACUUGGGCAUAUAUAAGCAAUGGAUAAUGAAUAAUGCAAUUGAAGAUCUGUCCUCCGACUUUUGCUUUGAAAUGAUUUUUAUAUAAAUCCAGCGUAUAAUAAUCUCUACUCUACUCUUUUCAAUAUGGAUCCCUUAUUAUUUGAAUUCUGUGAGAUUCUCCUUUCAACUUAUCAUUGCAAGAAUAGGACCCCUUCUUUCCUCUUUCCUUGCCUUACUCCGUUUACUCUUGAUUUUCUUCUUUCCUUCCUUCUUCCUUCCCUCCCUCCCUUCCUUCUUUCUUCUCCCUUCUCCCCGAUCUGUGUCCCAUCUCUGCUUUCUCUAUUCUCUCAUUACCUGACACUUCCAGUAGUAACUGAGGAACUUCACAAUAAGAUAUAGAGUAAAUUAUAAGUGAGAAAAGAGAACUCAAACUAGAAAAGGGACUUAACAUAAAACCAGAAACAAAACUAAUAUAAAAACACAUUCAUAAAAGCCUACGCAGUUGCUACAAAAGAAUUAUGAAUUUGGCACUAAUUGGCACCCUAGCAACCAAAAGGAAAGAGAAAGCUAGUUGAAGACUUAUACAACUUACAGAGUCCAUAACAUAAAAACAGACUAAUUGGACAGGAAAAGCUUAACUAUUGCUUGUAAUAAGGACAGACAGGAAUUUCUCCUGAGGGUGUAAAGUUAUCAAAAAAAAAAAAAAAAA
This is a long non-coding RNA of Loxodonta africana (African savanna elephant), 28858 nucleotides long. RefSeq lists it as uncharacterized. Lineage: Eukaryota; Metazoa; Chordata; Mammalia; Proboscidea; Elephantidae. The transcript has 3 exons. The record is from RefSeq and is a predicted model, not a curated record.